AUGGCAGGAUACAGAAUCUCUGUGAAACUAAGUGCUCAGGGACCAGCUGCUACCUUUUGGAGCUGUCUUUGCAACCACUUCUCCUAUGCGAAUAAAAGGUGCUUAAAUGAGCUUCUCGGCACCAGCAAGAUGCGUUCUUUCGGUGUCCCAUCUGAGAAGGAUCGACAGCACACAAGACUCAAGUGGGAGUGUGGAGAGUAAGAGAGAAGACCGAGACUGAAGGGUGAAUACUUUUUCUUUGUCUUGAAACAACCU
This 255-nucleotide long non-coding RNA is filed under the name Fukomys damarensis (Damara mole-rat). Its description in RNAcentral is "lncRNA (ENSFDAG00000024483.1)". Lineage: Eukaryota; Metazoa; Chordata; Mammalia; Rodentia; Bathyergidae. The record is from RNAcentral.